Molecule: ribosomal RNA, 492 nt
Filed under: uncultured bacterium
Lineage: Bacteria
Description: bacterial SSU rRNA
Rfam family: Bacterial small subunit ribosomal RNA
Source: RNAcentral
AAUCAACGCUGGCGGCGUGCCUCAGACAUGCAAGUCGAACGAUUAAAGCUCUCUUCGGAGAGUGUAUAGAGUGGCGCACGGGUGAGUAACACGUAAGUAAUCUACCCUCGAGUGGGGAAUAACAACCGGAAACGGUUGCUAAUACCGCAUAAUGCAGCGGCACCGCAAGGUGACAGUUGUUAAAGAUUUAUCGCUUGAGGAGGAGCUUGCGGCAGAUUAGCUAGUUGGUAGGGUAACGGCUUACCAAGGCUACGAUCUGUAACCGGUCUAAGAGGACGGUCGGUCACACUGACACUGAAUAACGGGUCAGACUCCUACGGGAGGCAGCAGUCGGGAAUUUUGGGCAAUGGGCGAAAGCCUGACCCAGCAACGCCGCGUGAAGGAUGAAGUAUUUCGGUAUGUAAACUUCGAAAGAAUAGGAAGAAUUAAUGACGGUACUAUUUAUAAGGUCCGGCUAACUACGUGCCAGCAGCCGCGGUAAGGUGACGCUCU